Podarcis raffonei (Aeolian wall lizard) is the source of this 2724-nucleotide long non-coding RNA. RefSeq lists it as uncharacterized. NCBI's taxonomy places the organism in Eukaryota, Metazoa, Chordata, Lepidosauria, Squamata, Lacertidae. The transcript has 2 exons. The record is from RefSeq and is a predicted model, not a curated record.
UCUGCAAAUCCAAAAGUGAAAUUAAAAGCCCUGCAUUCUCUUACCAGUAGCUGCACCUAAAAUCAUAUGACCCGCAACGGCGCUGGCCUUUUAUUUUUGUUUUCAAUCAAGAUCAAUAGCAACAUUUCUGGAAGCAAACGUCUCAAGCAUGUGGGGGGCGGGGAGAGAAACGCCUAAUCUGCAAAGGAUUAAUAUUUGGGUUUUGGUUUUUGUUUAGAGAAAAAUGCCUUACCAAUAAGUUUGUUUCGCGUUAUUUAUGGCAGUUCCCUUCAAGGUUAUCGCGGUUGCCAAGAGACGCAAAAUGGAAAGGAAAACAGGCGGCUGCAUAAAUCGCGGGAGCAAAACUAAAAGUUAUUCCCUCCUCCUCUGCUUUUGGCGGAGAUCAGCCCAGAUCGAAAGCAAAACAAGGGGAGGAAGCCGCGAGGAGCUGAGUCUUGGAAAUCCCCCCCUCCCUUCCUCCUCCUCCUGCUCCUCUUCCAGGCCUGUUUGUGCAGAGAGCGAGAGAAGGGGAGGUGGGGGCUGGAAGGAGAGAAAGGGGUGCGGAAGUUUGCCGCAGCCGUUCAUUGGCAGGCUCCGCUGCUUUCAUCAGUUCUCAGAAAAGUCGAUUUCAUUUUCACUUCCCUCCAGCAACAGCGACAUCAGCCCACGGCGAGCGGGUGGAAAGUGGCUGGUGGGGGAGGGGGAGGCGGAAAUAGAGGUUUCGGUUCCUCGGUAAGGGAAACCAGGGCUUACAAGCAGCUACUGCUUCCCCCCUCCUCCUCCUCGUCUUCGCCUCCUUUUUCUGUGGUCGGAUGCUGUAUGCUGGGGACGGAAUGGCGCCCGAGCAUCUUCCAGAGCCUUGUGCGAAGAGACCCAGGGGGACGGAGAGAUGCUGGAUCCGACCUUGGGCGUUGCACGCCGUGUGUAUGUCACUUGUAACUUCCACCUUUUAAUCUUUGUUCAAAACGCAUACCAAAAGCAAAACUUUGUCUCACACACCAGAGAAAAUAAAAUUAUUGGCAACCAGCACUGCAGCCUUUAAAGGUGGGAUAUUGCUGGACAAAUACCAAAGUUAAUUCCAGUCCACCUGUUGCUAGAAUUCCCUUUUACAUAUACACAUUGACACAUAUAUUACACUUUCAAUUUAUCGAGUUAGCCGAAUUUAAUGGAGGUGUUUGGAGUCAUAGCUCAGUGGUGGAGCAUCUCUAAGUAUAGCUGGAAAAUAUCCUGUGAAACCCAGGAGAGGUGCUGCUGGUCAGUAUUGCUAAAUAGUACUGAGCUAGAAAGACCAAUGGGCCUGACUCAUCAUAAGACAUCUUCCUGUGUUCCUAAAUAAAGGGAAAUUAGGGAAUUAACCAGCUUUGGUUCAUUUAGGGUGCCGGCUGAAGACACCUUUUCUGCCAGGCCCAAUAGAUGCUUGGCUAUGUACUGAGUGAUAUACUAAAUAGAUGGAGAUGGGUAUAUUUCAAAUAAUGUUAUAGUUCUUAUUCUUUAUUGGGUUUUACAUUACUGUGUCAUGCCCCCUGGUCAUGUGUGAUGAAGCGAGAGGGAAUGCAAAAUCCGUAAGUUAGAAAUACACAUUCAAAACAAACAACAAAACAUGCAACUCACAGUUCAAAAACAACCUCUCCUGGAUCUGAAGGUAAGAAGUAAAGCUGUGUGGUACCAGCAUACUGAUGAACACUGCAGCCCAAACCUCCAACUUCUGCCAGUGGUUUCAUGUAGCUGUUAAAGAGCAUAAGGGACAGUAUUGAACCCUGGGAUACACCAGACAGCAAUAGCCAUGAAGUGAAACAAUUGUCUCCCAGUAUCACCUUCUAGAAAGGUUUCUCAGGAACAUAAGGAGCCACCACAGGACCAGGUCUUGUAAAAACAACCUAGAUAAGCAGUCCAGAAGGACACCAUGGCCAAUGAAAGGUCCAGGAGAACUAAGAACAUGGCACUUCUUCAAUCAAUUCUCUGGCAUAAAUCUUCCAUUGGGGGCUCAGGCUGUUCCUGUGCCAAAAGCUGGAUUGGAACAGAUCCAAAUAAUUCAUCAUCCAAGACCAUCUGGAGCUGAGAGGUCCUACCACCUGGCCCAUUCACCUUGCAGUGAAGCUUAUUUUGGAAGCUUACAAAACCACCACAGUUAACGUCAGUGUCCUUUAUUGGUAAUGUCAGCAUGUCCUGGCACUUCUCUCAGGCCUCUAAAAUCUUAACAGAUAAUUUUUUACCAUUCAUCAAGUGUCUCAUACUUAUCAUAACAAUAUUUUUUACCUCAGUCUAGCACCUUUCAUGUGUCUUCCUCUGUCUUAGUUCACAUAAAUACUAACGUACAUAAUUACAGUGGUACCUCGGGUUACAUACGCUUCAGGUUACAUAUGCUUCAGGUUACAGACUCCGCUAACCCAGAAAUGUUACCUCAGGUUAAGAACUUUGCUUCAGGAUGAGAACAGAAAUCAUGCUCCGGUGGCACGGCGGCAGCAGGAGGCCCCAUUAGCUAAAGUGGUGCUUCAGGUUAAGAACAGUUUCAGGUUAAGUACGGACCUUCGGAACGAAUUAAGUACUUAACCUGAGAUACCACUGUACCGGGGAAUCCCUUUAUAGGUUACAUACAUUCUGCAAGCUUCUAUUUCAAAGACUGUUUCACAUCAGAAAAUAAUGCGCUGUGGCUUUGAGGAAGCUGCCAGAAAAAGUGGUUCUUCAAAACAGGAACCUAUAAAUUUGCCCUCUAGGCAAAUUAAAAAACAAAACAAAACAAAACAC